GGUGGUAAUGCCGGAUGCUCCAGUUGAUCGCAUGGUCUUCUGGGAAAGCUUUCGCGGUAUGGGAUGGGGUCGCGUCCUAUCAGCUUGACGGCGGGGUAACGGCCCACCGUGGCUUCGACGGGUAGCCGGCCUGAGAGGGCGACCGGCCACAUUGGGACUGAGAUACGGCCCAGACUCCUACGGGAGGCAGCAGUGGGGAAUAUUGCACAAUGGGCGCAAGCCUGAUGCAGCGACGCCGCGUGAGGGAUGGAGGCCUUCGGGUUGUAAACCUCUUUUAUCGGGGAGCAAGCGAGAGUGAGUUUACCCGUUGAAUAAGCACCGGCUAACUACGUGCCAGCAGCCGCGGUAAUACGUAGGGUGCAAGCGUUAUCCGGAAUUAUUGGGCGUAAAGGGCUCGUAGGCGGUUCGUCGCGUCCGGUGUGAAAGUCCAUCGCUUAACGGUGGAUCCGCGCCGGGUACGGGCGGGCUUGAGUGCGGUAGGGGAGACUGGAAUUCCCGGUGUAACGGUGGAAUGUGUAGAUA
This 522-nucleotide ribosomal RNA is filed under the name Bifidobacterium longum subsp. infantis. RNAcentral describes it as "bacterial SSU rRNA". It matches the Rfam family "Bacterial small subunit ribosomal RNA", at positions 159 to 696 of the family's 1533-position model. The record is from RNAcentral. RNAcentral also lists the same sequence under 1 other name. Lineage: Bacteria; Bacillati; Actinomycetota; Actinomycetes; Bifidobacteriales; Bifidobacteriaceae.